UACGUAGGGGGGCUAGCGUUGUCCGGAAUCAUUGGGCGUAAAGCGCGUGUAGGCGGCCCGGUAAGUCCGCUGUGAAAGUCCAGGGCUCAACCCUGGGAUGCCGGUGGAUACUGUCGGGCUCGAGUCCGGAAGAGGCGAGUGGAAUUCCUGGUGUAGCGGUGAAAUGCGCAGAUAUCAGGAGGAACACCAAUGGCGAAGGCAGCUCGCUGGGACGUGACUGACGCUGAGACGCGAAAGCGUGGGGAGCAAACAGG
RNAcentral lists this ribosomal RNA (254 nucleotides) under uncultured bacterium. Its description in RNAcentral is "partial 16S ribosomal RNA". It matches the Rfam family "Bacterial small subunit ribosomal RNA", at positions 524 to 776 of the family's 1533-position model. The record is from RNAcentral.